GACGAACGCUGGCGGCGUGCCUAAUACAUGCAAGUAGAACGCACAGUUUAUACCGUAGCUUGCUACACCAUAGACUGUGAGUUGCGAACGGGUGAGUAACGCGUAGGUAACCUGCCUGGUAGCGGGGGAUAACUAUUGGAAACGAUAGCUAAUACCGCAUAAUAUUAAUUAUUGCAUGAUAAUUAAUUGAAAGGUGCAAUUGCACCACUACCAGAUGGACCUGCGUUGUAUUAGCUAGUAGGUGAGGUAACGGCUCACCUAGGCGACGAUACAUAGCCGACCUGAGAGGGUGAUCGGCCCAACUGGGACUGAGACACGGCCCAGACUCCUACGGGAGGCAGCAGUAGGGAAUCUUCGGCAAUGGACGAAAGUCUGACCGAGCAACGCCGCGUGAGUGAAGAAGGUUUUCGGAUCGUAAAGCUCUGUUGUAAGAGAAGAACGGGUGUGAGAGUGGAAAGUUCACACUGUGACGGUAUCUUACCAGAAAGGGACGGCUAACUACGUG
This 505-nucleotide ribosomal RNA is filed under the name uncultured bacterium. RNAcentral describes it as "partial 16S ribosomal RNA". It matches the Rfam family "Bacterial small subunit ribosomal RNA", at positions 28 to 507 of the family's 1533-position model. The record is from RNAcentral.